This 382-nucleotide ribosomal RNA is filed under the name Bacillus subtilis. RNAcentral's name for it is "bacterial SSU rRNA". It matches the Rfam family "Bacterial small subunit ribosomal RNA", at positions 1010 to 1393 of the family's 1533-position model. Lineage: Bacteria; Bacillati; Bacillota; Bacilli; Caryophanales; Bacillaceae. The record is from RNAcentral.
GACGUCCCCUUCGGGGGCAGAGUGACAGGUGGUGCAUGGUUGUCGUCAGCUCGUGUCGUGAGAUGUUGGGUUAAGUCCCGCAACGAGCGCAACCCUUGAUCUUAGUUGCCAGCAUUCAGUUGGGCACUCUAAGGUGACUGCCGGUGACAAACCGGAGGAAGGUGGGGAUGACGUCAAAUCAUCAUGCCCCUUAUGACCUGGGCUACACACGUGCUACAAUGGACAGAACAAAGGGCAGCGAAACCGCGAGGUUAAGCCAAUCCCACAAAUCUGUUCUCAGUUCGGAUCGCAGUCUGCAACUCGACUGCGUGAAGCUGGAAUCGCUAGUAAUCGCGGAUCAGCAUGCCGCGGUGAAUACGUUCCCGGGUCUUGUACACACCGA